Molecule: small nuclear RNA, 164 nt
Organism: Jaculus jaculus (lesser Egyptian jerboa)
Lineage: Eukaryota; Metazoa; Chordata; Mammalia; Rodentia; Dipodidae
Product: U1 spliceosomal RNA
Exons: 1
Source: RefSeq, a predicted model, not a curated record
AUACCUACCUGGUAGGGGAGGAACCAUGAUCACCAAGGUGGUUUUCCCAACGCAAGCCCUAUCAAUUGUCCUUCGGAUGUGCUGACCCCUGCGAUUUCCCCAAAUGCGGGAAAUUUGACUGCACAGUUUGUGGUAGUGGGGGACAGCGAUCGUGCUCUUCCCCG